Non-coding RNA from Cinara cedri, 877 nucleotides. The record is from the annotation of a GenBank genome assembly. NCBI's taxonomy places the organism in Eukaryota, Metazoa, Arthropoda, Insecta, Hemiptera, Aphididae.
UCACUCUACAAAGCGUGAGAGUUUUUUCUGGAAGGCAUUUUUUUGAGCAACAAAACCGGUCACGCGCACGCCCCUUAAAGCUAAAAUCUCUCGGAUUGUGUUACCAUUAGGUACAUCAAUACUUUUUAUGAUUAUUGUGACUACUAAUAAUUUAUUCUGUACUACUAAUUUUGUGUUUUAUGAGUUUAUCUUGAGUUUAUCUGUAUAGUGUAUACAUUUUUGUUUUGUUUUUAUUUUAUUGCCAGAAUUAUGAAAAGAGCAAUAUGUAACUGCGGUUUGAUUGAAAAUAAUUCUUGAGACUACGAAAAUGAUAUGUCAAAACUGAAUAUUGUAAUUACGAAACAACAUUUUUCGAGAAGCAACCGACAUUUUUACCAUCACUUAACCGGACAUUGUAAGAACGGCUCUAACUAUGAUGGGUACUCGGUGGAAACGGGGUAUCAUGGGGAAACAUAGUUUUCUUUAGGACAUCAAAACAGGAUUAAGUCCAGGACAAGUCCCCUUUCUGUGCUAAAUAUCCUAAUAAACUACUGCGACAACGUUGUUUUUGUAUGGAAUCACUAGGUUUUUGUUUAGAUCUUAUCGCAUUAUCAGUUAACAGUUUUUCAUCUCGUUCUUUAUCUGUGUCAUUUUGAGUCGAUAUAUUCUUAAUCUGAGUUUGUGUUGUGAAAAAUAUUAUUCGAUUUUUUUGAUUUUAAAAUAUUUCGAUUAUUAAGCUACCCAAGAAGCAGCUGUGUAUACAAAAGAUUCCAAUAAUGAGUUGAAAAAUGAAUGAAUUCAAACAUCUGAAACUCUUCAUUCCAAAGGAUUCUGUUUCUAGAUUUUGGAGAAAAAAUUAUGAGUAACCAAUUCGCUAGCAACUUAAAUAAUACGCUUU